UUCAGGGUAGUCUAGUAGACAUGACAUAUGCCCGGUAAGCGGAACACUGUGGGUUCGAUUCCCAUCCCUGGAU
This 73-nucleotide transfer RNA is filed under the name Cordylochernes scorpioides. RNAcentral's name for it is "tRNA-Thr". It matches the Rfam family "tRNA". Rfam says of the family: Transfer RNA (tRNA) molecules are approximately 80 nucleotides in length. Their secondary structure includes four short double-helical elements and three loops (D, anti-codon, and T loops). The record is from RNAcentral. Lineage: Eukaryota; Metazoa; Arthropoda; Arachnida; Pseudoscorpiones; Chernetidae.